GGGAGUGACAGGCUUAGACAAUAAAUACAUUUGUCCGCAUGCAAAGGAGAAGUGGAGAUCUUCUUAAAAAUCUUCAAACUAUAACUGCAAAAACAGUUACGUCACCGUAUUUUACGGCGAACGACCUCGCUUUCGCCACCGCAAGGGGCUAAGCGAGCACAGUCUCUUCAACGCUCGUGAGGAGAGAUACUGUGUUAUAACACCGGGAUCGAUCAGUUAAGCUGCUUACUUAACUCUUCCAAACUUAAAGCUGCGGUAUAUCGGGAUUUUGUCCGCUUCAUACUCGAUAUAUCUAAGACAAUAAAACGGACUAGCCUUUGUAGAAAUUCGUACAAAUCUUUAUUGCACGGCGGUUCAACUCCGCCCACUUCCACCA
This 376-nucleotide transfer-messenger RNA is filed under the name Candidatus Parcubacteria bacterium. It matches the Rfam family "transfer-messenger RNA". From Rfam's summary of the family: Bacterial tmRNA, also known as 10Sa RNA or SsrA, is named for its dual tRNA and mRNA-like properties. Its role is to liberate the mRNA from a stalled ribosome. Lineage: Bacteria; Candidatus Parcubacteria. The record is from RNAcentral. RNAcentral also lists the same sequence under 1 other name.